AUAAUCUUCCUUGUUUCUCUCCACCUCUUUCUCGAAAAAAAACUGCUCCCUCCCCUUGCCCGCUUACCUCUCCCACGGCCUCGUCGCCCGUAGGUUCUCCGCCGCCACCCCACGCGACGCAGGGGAUCUCCCAUCCCACACGACAAGCGCGCGCCAGAGGACUGAAAGGGCGACCACCAUCUCCUCUCCCUUGCCCCUCUCCGACUCACCCACCGCCGCUUCCUCUCGCCCACCCCCGGCAGGCCUCACACUUACAGAUGCCCUCCUCGAAGGAGGCGGCCGCCUCAACUGUCUUCGGGCCCGGUGGGGGCGCGGGGAGUAGGCUGCUCUUGGUGCUCGACCGGGCGCUCACCGACGAGGAGCAGGACUUCCGCGAGCUCAGUGCUCCAGAUGCUCGGCCUCCCCCGUCCGCUCAGUGCUCCAGAUGCUCGGACGCGCCCCUAACACGGGAUCGUCAACUCCUCUCGCGCCCUCAUUGCAGCCAUCGCCGAUGAUGACGGUGCUCAUCACAUCAGCGAGGAGGACCUCGAGGGUUGCCGCAUGGCGGUGCAGGCGUGCAACUGCUCCUCGAUCCCGUGGGACGACUGCUGGGUCGGUAACUUGCCGCAGCGCUGGUAGCGGACGAGGCCACACCGCGCGCUGGCCUGGUGCUGUGGUUGGGCUUGGAUCUAGCGAGAUUGUUGUGGAUGUGUCUUGUGCCUCCUGUGGCCAGAACCCUCUCCCCGAUUUUGAUUCCUCCUCCGGCCAGUGGCCCCUGCCCACGCACUACCCAGGCGGGAGGGCCAUAGAAGAGGGGGGGGGGGGUCUCUUCUUCUUCCGUCCAAUCCACACACAUUGCAGUCCUUCUCUUCUUCUUCCGUCCGAUCCACACACAUCACAGUCCACCAAGGACUUGCUCAGGGAAAAGGAAGCUUCGGUGUCGCCAGUGGAUGGACAAUUGAUGGUGAGCAUUCCAGAUUUGAUGCACCUCUACAGUGUCGUCGAGGAGAAGGAUGGCAACCCAGGCCUGCAUACACAUGAUGGAGCACACCGUGCCAGCGAUGUGGUACCAUGCCUGGAGAAGAGAUCCUGAGGAGGAGAGGAUAUUGGAUCUGAGUACGUGAGGGAGGAGCAAAAGGAUAUUCAGAUUUCUGUUGCUCCUGAUGGUAUUAGCUAACUAAUGAAAAGUGGAUGUUAUACGGACCGACGAAACGGCUAUUUCACCUCAGGAAGUAAGUAAAGCUUGAGACAGUUGUUUCCCGGCUUGCUGCCUUGCAUUUGGGAGCUCACUGCUAGGUCAUACAAAUGGAUUCUGAUUCUGAUGUAUGACUAAAGGUGAAGAUUUAAGCGAUGCAUCAUAACUGAAGCUAUCUUGUUGAUGAUAUACGUUGUUUGCUUGUGAUACUUAAAUUUGAGUGUAUCGACAUGUUUAUUACACGUUAAAAGCUGACUUGGCACCUGACUUGUAGCAUACUGUUUAAGUGUUUACGCUAGAUGGGGUGUGUUUAGAGAAGAUAAUGUUUGCUCUUUUAAUAGUAGUAGAGAUUGUUUAACUUUAUACCAUACCAUCUCUUCAGUUGUACCUGUUCCGUUCGUUUCACAAAAGUUCGUAUGUAUUUUCGUUUAA
Long non-coding RNA from Triticum dicoccoides, 1606 nucleotides. RefSeq lists it as uncharacterized. The record is from RefSeq and is a predicted model, not a curated record. NCBI's taxonomy places the organism in Eukaryota, Viridiplantae, Streptophyta, Magnoliopsida, Poales, Poaceae. The transcript has 3 exons.